ACGAACGCUGGCGGCGCGCCUAACACAUGCAGGUCGAGCGGAGAUAUUAGUAAUAGUAUCUUAGCGGCGGACGGGUGAGUAACGCGUGGGCAACCUACCUUAAAGAGGGGAAUAACUUAGGGAAACUUAAGAUAAUACCGCAUAACACUAUAGUAGAGCAUUCUACAAUAGUCAAAGGAGUAAUCCGCUUUAAGAUGGGCCCGCGUCUGAUUAGCUAGUUGGUGGGGUAAAGGCCUACCAAGGCUGCGAUCAGUAGCCGAACUGAGAGGUUGAUCGGCCACAUUGGGACUGAGACACGGCCCAGACUCCUACGGGAGGCAGCAGUGGGGAAUAUUGCGCAAUGGGGGAAACCCUGACGCAGCGACGCCGCGUGGAGGAAGAAGGUCUUCGGAUUGUAAACUCUUGUCGACAGGGAAGAUAAUAGACGGUACCUGUGGAGGAAGCCCCGGCUAACUACGU
This 459-nucleotide ribosomal RNA is filed under the name uncultured bacterium. RNAcentral's name for it is "bacterial SSU rRNA". It matches the Rfam family "Bacterial small subunit ribosomal RNA", at positions 29 to 506 of the family's 1533-position model. The record is from RNAcentral.